Musa acuminata subsp. malaccensis (wild Malaysian banana) is the source of this 2465-nucleotide non-coding RNA. NCBI's taxonomy places the organism in Eukaryota, Viridiplantae, Streptophyta, Magnoliopsida, Zingiberales, Musaceae. The record is from RefSeq and is a predicted model, not a curated record.
UCCACAUGAUCGGAUUCGUGUACUACAGAAGCACCCGUCGCACUUGCCUGGUGACUAGGGAUGGAAGAGGAUUGGAGGGGUGGGAUGGUCGUUCUCUCCGCGAAAUCGCUGCCCUUGGGCUUCCGGUUCCGUCCGACGGACGUGGAGCUGGUGAACCACUACCUCAAGGGCAAAAUUAGCGGCAGGAUCAAGUCGGAGGUCGAGGUCAUCCCCGAGAUAGAUGUCUGCAAAUACGAGCCGUGUGAUCUUCCCGAUAAAUCAUUGACCAAAUCAGUCGAUUCGGAGUGGUUCUUCUUCGCACCGAAGGACAAGAAGUAUCCGAACAGCAAUCGUUCCAACCGGGCUACUGAGGCUGGGUAUUGGAAACCCACGGGGAAGGAUCGGAUGAUCAAGUCCGGGUCAGCUUGUCCUGCAAUUAUAGGCAUGAAGAAGACCCUUGUCUUCCACCUUGGCCGUGCUCCCAAGGGCGUUCGCACUAACUGGAUCAUGCACGAGUAUCGCACACUUGAGUCUGAGUCUGUCUCUGGUGAGCAGGGUGGCUUUGUUCUCUGUCGUUUAUUCAGGAAGCCUGAAGAGAAGACCCCAAUUUUUGAUAAUGAUGAUUUCACCCAAAGAAAUGUUGAUGAGAUGGAGAGUAGUGGCUUGUUUGCACCAGCAACACCUUCACCAGGAGAGACACUACAUGGAGUAGAGGCUACAGAGGAAGUUGUGACACCAUUGAACCAAAAAAAUUUGGGAUCUGAUUUGCAAGAGAUUUUACAGCCUUUGCCUCUGAAAACUAAUGUGCAACCAUCAGGUGUUAAUGGGCUGGCAGCAGAUAAGACUGAUAUCACGAGAAGCUAUCCUUUGAAGCCAGAAGAGUCUCAUUGCAAUGACACUAUUGUUUCGGAUGCCGCUAAUCAUGGAACUGUUUUGGGAUCUGAGGAGCUUAGUCAAUUUGACAACAUUGGACAGGAUUCUGUCACUGAGUUUUUAAAUGCAAUGCUUUGUGAUCCAGAGGAAUGUUCCCCUGAGGUAUCAAAUGCCCCAAGAGGUUUCCUAACUGAGUUUGAACCAGAUAAUCAGAUCUGUGUGACCAGGAAUGAUUCCCCCUGGGAUUCACCACUCUGAUAAAGAACCUGAAGCUACUGUUUUUUAGGUACCUUAGAGGAACAUGGUGUUUUCUGGAGGAACCAACAGUCUGCCCAUUUGUUCAAGCAAUUCUUUGCGGAAGAACAGUUAUAUUGUUCCUACGAGACAAGACAUGAGUCAGUUUUCUGUGUUUCCCAAUCAGAAUUCGAGCCUAAAAUGUUUGCUCAAUGGUCUCUGCUGCAACGAAUCAAGAAAAAACCAAUAUGGGUAACUCUGACACAGCUGGAAUCCAUAUCGGAGCUUGCAAGAAUUUGUCAGGCUCUGAUAACUUGAUUGAACAGCCAGGCUUGUCAAGGAACCCGUUACGUUUGCAAAAGCUCAUUCACGAUGGCUCUGUCCCCAGAACUGAUCAUGCAGUAAGCAGUACGAUUGAUGAUAUGGUCAAAACAGUGGUCCCUGACUGAGGUUUGAAGCUUUCUUUGGUUAUUUUCAGAAAUGAUAACAUUGACCUAAUGUUGAAUCUUAAGUCAAUAUUAUAACAAUUGUUGUUGUUGAUCAUAUUGGCCUAAUGAAAUGUUUAAUCUGAAGUGGCUAACCUUGAAAAGUGUCUACAGGUUAGAAAACAUUCAUUCGGAGCACCAAUUUGAUGAAAAAAAAUCAGCUUCUGAUCUUACUGCCAAUAUCAGUACUGAGGACAUCCCUUCUCGUGAUAAUACGAAUUCUACUGAGAUAAGGUCCUCUUCUCCUGAGAUCUAAGAUUCCAAACCCGAGUUGAUGUUGAGAACAAGAUGGAGACAUAAGAAUGAGGAUAAAAUCAGCAGCCAGUCUACUGAUGCAAUGGCAAUUAGAGCUAGACAUACUCGACUAUUACAAUCACAUUGAUUCUAUCAGCAGUACUAAUUUUAUUAUUCCUUGGAUUACAAUCAGGUGCCUGAGCUCCUGAGAACAGAAUCAACUCUUGGUCUUUGCAAAAUUUUCAGUCUUGGAACAUGUAAAGUUUACAGCUCCGCAACAGAGCGUUCAGCAGCCCAUCCAGGGAGCUACUUUGAAGCUAUUUCUGGCUGUGAAGGAUGAAGGUUUCUGACCAAAUUAAAAGAAGCAGAGACUCUGUAGAGACACAUCAGAGGUGGCUUCUUGGUACUGAUGUCGAAGCACUCGACUCUCCGAGGUGUGCUGUACUACACAGUAGUUAAUAAUUCUGCAUGGGUUUACUUUAACCACCUGCACUGCACACUACCUUAUGGUGAUGGCACAUUUGAUGGUUGUAUCAUCUUGUACCAUGGUGUUGUAUAGGUCAGAAACAGGCAGAUCUUUGUUUUUUUUUAGUCCGGCCCAUAGGUGGGAUUGUACCGGACAAUAAGGACAUUGAGCUUAAAUCUAAUCAAUUAUUAAAA